This 452-nucleotide ribosomal RNA is filed under the name uncultured bacterium. RNAcentral's name for it is "partial 16S ribosomal RNA". It matches the Rfam family "Bacterial small subunit ribosomal RNA", at positions 28 to 507 of the family's 1533-position model. The record is from RNAcentral.
GAUGAACGCUGGUGGCGUGCCUAACACAUGCAAGUCGAGCGAUUCUCUUCGGAGAAGAGCGGCGGACGGGUGAGUAACGCGUGGGUAACCUGCCCUGUACACACGGAUAACAUACCGAAAGGUAUGCUAAUACGAGAUAACAUGCUUUUAUCGCAUGGUAGAAGUAUCAAAGCUUUUGCGGUACAGGAUGGACCCGCGUCUGAUUAGCUAGUUGGUGAGGUAACGGCUCACCAAGGCGACGAUCAGUAGCCGACCUGAGAGGGUGAUCGGCCACAUUGGAACUGAGACACGGUCCAAACUCCUACGGGAGGCAGCAGUGGGGAAUAUUGCACAAUGGGCGAAAGCCUGAUGCAGCAACGCCGCGUGAGCGAUGAAGGCCUUCGGGUCGUAAAGCUCUGUCCUCAAGGAAGAUAAAGACGGUACUUGAGGAGGAAGCCCCGGCUAACUACGUG